UGGGGAAUAUUGGACAAUGGGCGAAAGCCUGAUCCAGCCAUGCCGCGUGUGUGAAGAAGGUCUUCGGAUUGUAAAGCACUUUAAGUUGGGAGGAAGGGCAUUAACCUAAUACGUUAGUGUUUUGACGUUACCGACAGAAUAAGCACCGGCUAACUCUGUGACAGCAGCCGCGGUAAUACAGAGGGAGCAAGCGUUAAUCGGAAUUACUGGGCGUAAAGCGCGCGUAGGUGGUUUGUUAAGUUGGAUGUGAAAUCCCCGGGCUCAACCUGGGAACUGCAUUCAAAACUGACUGACUAGAGUAUGGUAGAGGGUGGUGGAAUUUCCUGUGUAGCGGUGAAAUGCGUAGAUAUAGGAAGGAACACCAGUGGCGAAGGCGACCACCUGGACUAAUACUGACACUGAGGUGCGAAAGCGUGGGGAGCAAACA
This 427-nucleotide ribosomal RNA is filed under the name uncultured bacterium. RNAcentral's name for it is "partial 16S ribosomal RNA". It matches the Rfam family "Bacterial small subunit ribosomal RNA", at positions 355 to 774 of the family's 1533-position model. The record is from RNAcentral.